This 240-nucleotide unclassified non-coding RNA is filed under the name soil metagenome. RNAcentral's name for it is "partial contains 5.8S ribosomal RNA, internal transcribed spacer 2, and large subunit ribosomal RNA". The record is from RNAcentral.
AAGACUAUAGACCUGCGGAGUACCUGCGGAAGGAUCAUUAUCGUAUUGUAACAAUUGGGGGGGCCACCGUGGGCUGUCGCUGACCCUUUGAAAGGGGGGUCGUGCACGCCCCCAUAGUGUCAUCCUCAUACAAUCCAACUCACCUCUGUGCAUCACCGCGUGGGUUCCUUUCUGGGUCGAGUCAGACUGGCUCAGAAAAAAGGGGCUUGCGUUUUCCAUACAAAUACCCUUAUACAUCCA